This 233-nucleotide ribosomal RNA is filed under the name uncultured bacterium. RNAcentral describes it as "partial 16S ribosomal RNA". It matches the Rfam family "Bacterial small subunit ribosomal RNA", at positions 794 to 1026 of the family's 1533-position model. The record is from RNAcentral.
UCCACGCCGUAAACGAUGUCAACUAACUGUUGGGACCUUAAAGGUCUUAGUGGUGGAGCUAACGUAUUAAGUUGACCGCCUGGGGAGUACGGCCGCAAGGCUAAAACUCAAAUGAAUUGACGGGGGCCCGCACAAGCGGUGGAGCAUGUGGUUUAAUUCGAUGCAACGCGAAGAACCUUACCUACCCUUGACAUCCAGAGAAUCUGUUAGAGAUAGUAGAGUGCCUUCGGGAA